GGCAGCAGCCGCGGUAACACCGGCGGCCCGAGUGGUGAUCGUGAUUAUGGGUCUAAAGGGUCCGUAGCCGGUUGGUCAGUCCUCCGGGAAAUCUGAUAGCUCAACUAUUAGGCUUUCGGGGGAUACUGCCAGACUUGGAACCGGGAGAGGUAAGAGGUACUACAGGGGUAGGAGUGAAAUCUUGUAAUCCCUGUGGGACCACCUGUGGCGAAGGCGUCUUACCAGAACGGGUUCGACGGUGAGGGACGAAAGCUGGGGGCACGAACCGGAUUAGAUACCCGGGUAGUCCCAGCCGUAAACGAUGCUCGCUAGGUGUCAGGCAUGGCGCGACCGUGUCUGGUGCCGCAGGGAAGCCGUGAAGCGAGCCACCUGGGAAGUACGGCCGCAAGGCUGAAACUUAAAGGAAUUGGCGGGGGAGCACAACAACGGGUGGAAGCCUGCGGUUUAAUUGGACUCAACGCCGGACAACUCACCGGGGGCGACAGCAAUAUGUAGGCCAAGCUGAAGACUUUGCCUGAAUCGCUGAGGGGAGGUGCAUGG
RNAcentral lists this ribosomal RNA (540 nucleotides) under uncultured archaeon. RNAcentral's name for it is "bacterial SSU rRNA". It matches the Rfam family "Archaeal small subunit ribosomal RNA", at positions 457 to 997 of the family's 1478-position model. The record is from RNAcentral.